RNAcentral lists this long non-coding RNA (245 nucleotides) under Dromaius novaehollandiae (emu). RNAcentral describes it as "lncRNA (ENSDNVG00000015740.1)". The record is from RNAcentral. Lineage: Eukaryota; Metazoa; Chordata; Aves; Casuariiformes; Dromaiidae.
UUUUGCAGAUGUCAGCUGUACCAUCUGCUGAUGAAAAAAAAUGUGCAUCGCUGUGGAAACACUGAGCAGUUCUGUGGUCUUUUCUGCACUCUGAUGCAGACCCUGAAGUCACCAGUAUCCAUGUCUGUGAUUCAGAUUGACAGUGAAACGAGGUACACCUUGCAUGGUAUGAACACACACACAUCAGCACCACUGUGUAAUGCUUGAAAUAUAUGCAGCAGAGCGAGAUAAGGAGGGGAUGUGCA